UUCACCUGUGUUUGCCCUACAAUGACAUUUCAAAAUGGCUGCUGUGAGAAGGGCCUAUAAGCCAAGCCUCUCAGCUUGUUCAGGCUAUUAACUCCAGGUCCAUUCACUGUCCACAAACUUUACCUCAAGAGGGAUGCUGGAGUUCUACUUCUGAGAUGCCAGGGAAUCACUGCUUCACCUCACAAAAGCAAACGCAAAGACAGCUGGAGUAGUAUCCACAUCACACCUGAAUAAGAAGCUUCCUCCUGGUGAGCCUGAAAUACCACAAGGCGCACGUGUCACUGGCACUGGAGCGAGUGGGUGUAAUCAUACUGCAAUGAAGGAAGAACUUAAGGCAUGUCAGCUGCAUUCACAACAAGCAGGAUAACAUCCUCCUCCACCAGUGACCCAAAAGGAACCCGGUAACUGUCUCUCCUCUCAAGGAAGAAACUUUCAAAACCACGUUUUCACAAUGGUAAUAAAAGAGAGCAAACUUUCACCGGACAAAGACAUAUCAUAGAAUUGUUCUAAGAUUAUAUUAUGCCUCCUCUUAGCAGAUGUGAACUAAUUAUUGUUUAGGAAUGUCCAAUAAUAAUGGAUAGAUCCACAUGCAAACAUCUACAGACCUAACAGAAAAUGUAAUUCUGGAUUUUGCCACAGGUCAAUAGUUUGGAUCGUGGUUAAAGAAUCAUACUCAUGUCCAUAUUUCCUGGUGCAAGGAAUUAAAUCAAUAACCCACUGAUGACAAAUAUGAUUUCUGUGACUGCUGGCAUGAGCAACUGGGAGGUGGUACCUUUUUCACCAUAGUUGGCACGCGUCCAUCAAGGACAUUAUUGUACGUAUUUCAUAAAGAAGGAAUCUAGGUCGGCAAGAACAAGUGUUUCCAUGUAGAAAAAUGUCCCUAGCCUUAAGAAUGCAGGUUUAAUGUUUAAUGCCACUUGAAUUACAAUUAUGUGUGGCCAGUCCAAAUGUAAAGCAUUAACAAUAACAUGAUCACCAAGAUACUGUAGGCAAUCCACAAGUGUAGAUGUAGAAAAAUAUAUUUAUUUUAAAGAAUGAGAAAAAUAAUGUGAAAAUGUGAUGUUUAUGUAUUAAAAUCAUGGUUUGUUGCUAGAAUAAAACAAUAA
Molecule: long non-coding RNA, 1106 nt
Organism: Perca flavescens (yellow perch)
Lineage: Eukaryota; Metazoa; Chordata; Actinopteri; Perciformes; Percidae
Exons: 3
Source: RefSeq, a predicted model, not a curated record